AAUAGAUACCCCGGUAGUCCACGCUGUAAACGAUGAGUACUAGGUGUUGGGGGAGACAUCCUUCAGUGCCGCAGUUAACACAUUAAGUACUCCGCCUGGGGAGUACGGUCGCAAGACUGAAACUCAAAGGAAUUGACGGGGGCCCGCACAAGCAGCGGAGCAUGUGGUUUAAUUCGACGCAACGCGAAGAACCUUACCAGGGCUUGACAUCCCUUUGACAGAUCUAGAGAUAGGUCAUUCUCUUCGGAGACAGAGGAGACAGGUGGUGCAUGGUUGUCGUCAGCUCGUGUCGUGAGAUGUUGGGUUAAGUCCCGCAACGAGCGCAACCCUUGCCUUUAGUUGCCAGCAGGUAAAGCUGGGCACUCUAGAGGGACUGCCGGUGACAAACCGGAGGAAGGUGGGGAUGACGUCAAAUCAUCAUGCCCCUUAUGUCCUGGGCUACACACGUGCUACAAUGGCCGGUACAACGGGAAGCGAGUUCGUAAGGAUGAGCGAAUCCCAAGAAGCCGGUCCCAGUUCGGAUUGUGGG
Molecule: ribosomal RNA, 529 nt
Filed under: uncultured bacterium
Lineage: Bacteria
Description: bacterial SSU rRNA
Rfam family: Bacterial small subunit ribosomal RNA
Source: RNAcentral